CAAGGAUUACGAAUUCGAGCUCGGUACCCGGGGAUCCUCUAGAGAUUGGUUACCUUGGUUACGACUUAGUCCCAAUCGCCAGUCCCACCUUCGACAGCUCCCUCCCACAAGGGGUUAGGCCACCGGCUUCGGGUGUUACCAACUUUCGUGACUUGACGGGCGGUGUGUACAAGGCCCGGGAACGUAUUCACCGCUGCGUUGCUGAUCUGCGAUUACUAGCGACUCCGACUUCAUGGGGUCGAGUUGCAGACCCCAAUCCGAACUGAGACCGGCUUUUUGGGAUUAGCUCCACCUCACAGUAUCGCAACCCUUUGUACCGGCCAUUGUAGCAUGCGUGAAGCCCAAGACAUAAGGGGCAUGAUGAUUUGACGUCGUCCCCACCUUCCUCCGAGUUGACCCCGGCAGUCUCCUAUGAGUCCCCACCAUAACGUGCUGGCAACAUAGAACGAGGGCUGCGCUCGUUGCGGGGACUUACCCAACAUCUCACGACACGAGCUGACGACAACCAUGCACCACCCUGAUCAACCGACCGCAAGCGGGGCACUUGUUUCCAAGCGUUUCCAGUUUCAUGUCAAGCCUUGGUAUGGUUCUUCGCGUUGCAUCGAAUUAAUCCGCAUGCUCCGCCGCUUGUGCGGGCCCCCGUCAAUUCCUUUGAGUUUUAGCCUUGCGGCCGUACUCCCCAGGCGGGGCACUUAAUGCGUUGGCUACGGCGCGGAAAACGUGGAAUGUCCCCCACACCUAGUGCCCAACGUUUACGGCAUGGACUAACAGGGUAUCUAAUCCUGUUCGCUCCCCAUGCUUUCGCUCCUCAGCGUCAGUUAAUGCCCAGAGACCUGCCAUCGCCAUCGGUGUUCCUCCUGAUAUCUGCGCAUUUCACCGCUACACCAGGAAUUYCCAGUCUCCCCUACAUCACUCUAGUCUGCCCGUACCCACCGCAGAUCCGGAGUUGAGCCCCGGACUUUCACGGCAGACGCGACAAACCGCUACGAGCUCUUUACGCCCAAUAAUUCCGGAUAAGCUUGCGCCCUACGUAUUACCGCGGCUGCUGGCACGUAGUUAGCCGGCGCUUCUUCUGCAAGUACCCUCAACCAACUAAACAUUGGCCUUGUUCCCUACUGAAAGAGGUUUACAACCCGAAGGCCGUCAUCCCUCACGC
RNAcentral lists this ribosomal RNA (1156 nucleotides) under Arthrobacter sp. NJ4. RNAcentral describes it as "partial 16S ribosomal RNA". Lineage: Bacteria; Bacillati; Actinomycetota; Actinomycetes; Micrococcales; Micrococcaceae. The record is from RNAcentral.